Molecule: ribosomal RNA, 483 nt
Filed under: uncultured bacterium
Lineage: Bacteria
Description: bacterial SSU rRNA
Rfam family: Bacterial small subunit ribosomal RNA
Source: RNAcentral
UGAACGCUGGCGGCGUGCUUAAUACAUGCAAGUCGAACGAAGAUGUUCUUGAGUUUACUCGAGAGCUCUUAGUGGCGAACGGGUGAGUAACGCGUUGGUGACCUGCCCUAAAGAAGGGAACAACCUCGGGAAACUGAGACUAAUACCCUAUGUGCUUCUUAAGAUUAGAUGCUUUUGAAGUAAAGGUUCUGUGGACGAAAGGACACAGUGCCACUUUAGGAGGGGCCUGCGUACCAUCAGCUAGUUGGUAGGGUAAUGGCCUACCAAGGCGAUGACGGUUAGGGGACCUGAGAGGGUGACCCCCCACACUAGCACUGAAACACGGGCUAGACACCUACGGGUGGCAGCAGUAGGGAAUCUUGCACAAUCGACGAAAGUCUGAUGCAGCAACGCCGCGUGUGCGAUGAAGGCCUUCGGGUUGUAAAGCACUUUUCUGAGGGAAGAGAAAGGACUGUACCUCAGGAAUAAGUCUCGGCUAACUAC